Molecule: non-coding RNA, 184 nt
Organism: Thermosediminibacter oceani DSM 16646
Lineage: Bacteria; Bacillati; Bacillota; Clostridia; Thermosediminibacterales; Thermosediminibacteraceae
Rfam family: 6S / SsrS RNA
About the family: E. coli 6S RNA was the first non coding RNA to be sequenced, but its function was unknown until recently.
Source: Rfam
AUCUCCCUGCUGUGCGCGUGGACCUGACAGAGGAAAGAGCCAACACCACGACAUAGGGAGUCCGGCCUCUGGAUGUGGAUUGUAGGCCCUCCUUGGAGAGGGAAACAUGAAUCAUCCAGGAGGACACCCACCUUUGAGGGCCGGGUCUCUGUUCCUUGUCAGUACACGGCAUGGCGGGGUUUUU